RNAcentral lists this non-coding RNA (46 nucleotides) under Schistosoma margrebowiei. The record is from RNAcentral. Lineage: Eukaryota; Metazoa; Platyhelminthes; Trematoda; Strigeidida; Schistosomatidae.
GCACUGCUGAGGAGUCCCACGAUAAGGCGAAACGACCGUCCAGUGC